Molecule: ribosomal RNA, 253 nt
Filed under: uncultured bacterium
Lineage: Bacteria
Description: partial 16S ribosomal RNA
Rfam family: Bacterial small subunit ribosomal RNA
Source: RNAcentral
UACGUAGGUGACCAGCGUUGUCCGGAUUUACUGGGCGUAAAGAGCGCGCAGGCGGUCGUUCAAGUCGAGGGUGAAAGCCCCCGGCUCAACUGGGGAGGGUCAUUCGAUACUGAUCGACUCGAAGGCAGGAGAGGGAAGUGGAAUUCCCGGUGUAGUGGUGAAAUGCGUAGAUAUCGGGAGGAACACCAGUGGCGAAGGCGACUUCCUGGCCUGUUCUUGACGCUGAGGCGCGAAAGCUAGGGGAGCAAACGGG